GAUUCCGUAGGUGAACCUGCGGAAGGAUCAUUAUUGUAUAACCGAGGUGCGAGGGCUGUCGCUGACCCGAAAGGUCGUGCACGCCCGAGUGCCCUCACACACAUCCAUCUCACCCCUAUGUGCACCACCGCGUGGGUCCCCCUUUGGCUUGUUCGGAGGGGGGCUUACGUUUUCACACAAACUUUGUAUGCAGUGUAGAAUGUAUUUUUUGUUUUUGCGAUCACGCAAUCAAUACAACUUUCAACAACGGAUCUCUUGGCUCUC
This 264-nucleotide unclassified non-coding RNA is filed under the name plant metagenome. Its description in RNAcentral is "partial contains small subunit ribosomal RNA, internal transcribed spacer 1, and 5.8S ribosomal RNA". The record is from RNAcentral.